AGAGUUUGAUCAUGGCUCAGAACGAACGCUGGCGGCGUACUUAACACAUGCAAGUCGAACGAGAACGGGGGCUUCGGUCCUUUAGUAAAGUGGCGAACGGGUGCGUAACACGUAAGUAAUCUGCCCCAGACUCUGGGAUAACGUUUCGAAAGGAACGCUAAUACCGGAUAGUUUCCAGUGGCACAAGUUGCUGGAGGAAAGUUAGCUUGCUUGCGGUCUGGGAUGAGCUUGCGGCCCAUUAGCUAGUUGGUGGGGUUAAGGCUCACCAAAGCGACGAUGGGUAGCUGGUCUGAGAGGAUGAUCAGCCACACUGGCACUGAGACACGGGCCAGACUCCUACGGGAGGCAGCAGUGGGGAAUUUUGCGCAAUGGGCGAAAGCCUGACGCAGUAACGCCGCGUGGAGGAUGAAGGCCUUCGGGUUGUAAACUCCUGACUGGGGGAAAGAUGAUGACGGUACCCCCAAAGAAAGCCCCGGCUAAUUCCGUGCCAGCAGCCGCGGUAAUACGGAAGGGGCAAGCGUUGUUCGGAAUCAUUGGGCGUAAAGGGGCGUGUAGGCGGUUUCAUAUGUCCGCUGUGAAAGAACACGGCUCAACUGUGUCAAGCGGCGGAAACUGUGAGACUUGAGGCUGGGAGGGGCUGGUGGAAUUCCCUGUGUAGCGGUGAAAUGCAGAGAUGGGGGAGAACACUCGUGGCGAAGGCGGCCAGCUGGACCAGUUCUGACGCUGAGACGCGAAAGCGUGGGGAGCAAACAGGAUUAGAUACCCUAGUAGUCC
Molecule: ribosomal RNA, 774 nt
Filed under: uncultured bacterium
Lineage: Bacteria
Description: bacterial SSU rRNA
Rfam family: Bacterial small subunit ribosomal RNA
Source: RNAcentral